Molecule: long non-coding RNA, 1407 nt
Organism: Monomorium pharaonis (pharaoh ant)
Lineage: Eukaryota; Metazoa; Arthropoda; Insecta; Hymenoptera; Formicidae
Exons: 4
Source: RefSeq, a predicted model, not a curated record
UAUCACACACGAGUAAAACGUAAACCGCGCGCAAGAAUUUCACUUGGCGCGACCGUUACAUUUGGAAAAAUACGUUAAAAGUACGGCACGUUAAGACACACUGAACAGAAGUAAAUCUAUUCGCUCCUAGAGUUUUGUACGCCUUGAAUUUUCGUUCCGGGCAAAGUUUUCAUGUGCGCGUAUUCGCUCGAGGAGGAUACGCAAUCCGUUCGGUAGAAUGUCGAUCGUGCCAAUAAUGAAACUUUACUAAUUGUCGCGCAAUCAUACAGAGAUACAAAACUCUAGGAGCAAAUUGAUUUACUUCUGUUUAGUUUAGCCUCGAUUCUUGGUGCUUUUUUCGGGUUUCGUUUCGUGAAGUCACACAGCAUACCACUGUUUUAAGUUCUAAUUGUAAGUAAAUUUUUUUUCAUGUAAACGAAAAUAGUGAUUGAAUAGGAUUCCUCGAAAAUCGCGUUCGGCCUAUUUGAUUUUAAGUGCAAACGCUUGUCCAAAGUUUUUUCCGUCAUCGAAAAAAAGCGAGGCUUCCGCUUCGAUGCUUCGGAUAAUCGCUUCUCGGAAAUCGUCGAGGCUCCGGGAUGCUUGUCCGAAGUUUUUUUCGUCGUCAAAAAAAAGCGAGGCGCCACUCAGGCGCCAGUCCCCUCGACGAAUUCCGAGAAACGAUUACCCGAAGCAUCGAAGCGGAAACUUCUCGGAAAUCGACGAUUUCCAAGAAGCGAUUAUCUCCCCUUUUCCGCGAAAUCCCGAGUCCGGCGACUCACGGUAGCCAAUCAGCUACUAGCUCCGCCUACUAUUCUCUCCUUCCCUCUUUCAAACGCUUCAACGGUUCCGGGCAGUCCGCGCGGACUGAGCUCAGUUGCCUGACGAGAGGGGGUCGGUGGGUCAGUUGUAUCGCGAAGCUUCGGGAGUGAACAUGUACGCUGCUCGUCUAUCGAAAAAGAAUAUCGCGAUCGCCUCGUGUGUGUGUGUGUGAGUGUGUGUGUGUGUGUGCGGUGUGAAGUGCAUCGUCAUUGCCUUCCUCAGGAUUAUCGCUGCUUCAGGAUUAUCUUCGCCGUUGCCUCCCUCUCUGCUUCAGGACGAUCGCUGCGAACGAGAGCAGUCCAGAUGCAAGUAUGAAAAUCCGAAAACGUGGCCGGCUGUCCACAUGGCAAUAUGGAACAUCUUUUCGCAUUGGGUAACUGACGAUGUCCUUGCAAUGGCACGACCCAAUACCGCGCAAAUAAUAAAGGAAGAUCUAAUUGCCCAGUUCCAAAGGUGGAGUAUAAAAACCAUAAUAAACUUGCAAACACGCAAGGUGAACACGCAAGUUGCGGUGAUCCACUAGAAGAGAGCAGCUUCACAUAUGACCCUAAUGUUUUUAUGAAAAACAACAUUUACUAUUAUAAUUUCUCGGUAUUCCGGAAAAAGAAU